RNAcentral lists this ribosomal RNA (627 nucleotides) under Brevibacterium casei. RNAcentral describes it as "bacterial SSU rRNA". It matches the Rfam family "Bacterial small subunit ribosomal RNA", at positions 355 to 993 of the family's 1533-position model. The record is from RNAcentral. Lineage: Bacteria; Bacillati; Actinomycetota; Actinomycetes; Micrococcales; Brevibacteriaceae.
UGGGGAAGGAAUUGCCAUGGGGGAACCCUGAUGCAGCGACGCAGCGUGCGGGAUGACGGCCUUCGGGUUGUAAACCGCUUUCAGCAGGGAAGAAGCGCAAGUGACGGUACCUGCAGAAGAAGUACCGGCUAACUACGUGCCAGCAGCCGCGGUAAUACGUAGGGUACGAGCGUUGUCCGGAAUUAUUGGGCGUAAAGAGCUCGUAGGUGGUUGGUCACGUCUGCUGUGGAAACGCAACGCUUAACGUUGCGCGUGCAGUGGGUACGGGCUGACUAGAGUGCAGUAGGGGAGUCUGGAAUUCCUGGUGUAGCGGUGAAAUGCGCAGAUAUCAGGAGGAACACCGGUGGCGAAGGCGGGACUCUGGGCUGUAACUGACACUGAGGAGCGAAAGCAUGGGGAGCGAACAGGAUUAGAUACCCUGGUAGUCCAUGCCGUAAACGUUGGGCACUAGGUGUGGGGGGCAUUCCACGUUCUCCGCGCCGUAGCUAACGCAUUAAGUGCCCCGCCUGGGGAGUACGGUCGCAAGGCUAAAACUCAAAGGAAUUGACGGGGGCCCGCACAAGCGGCGGAGCAUGCGGAUUAAUUCGAUGCAACGCGAAGAACCUUACCAAGGCUUGACAUACACCA